CGCACUAGCCGGGGAGUUAGCGGUGCCCUGCGGUGAAAGCCGUUCCUGCAAUCCGCUCUAGCAGGGGUGAGAUACGAAACUCGAGGGCCUUUACGUUGCAGAUUACGGCCUUUUCGUGAGGUAUUGUGAGUUGGUCCUAUUGGGCGUGCGCGCCGUGAACCAUGUCAGGCGGGGAACCGAGCAGCAUUAAGCGGUUUGCGUUGCGUGCCGUAGGGCGCCGGCUUAUAGCCAAACGGAUCGGUACGCCUGUGACCGCGGUUCA
Molecule: signal recognition particle RNA, 262 nt
Filed under: pig gut metagenome
Description: Bacterial large signal recognition particle RNA
Rfam family: Bacterial large signal recognition particle RNA (bases 31-262)
About the family: The signal recognition particle (SRP) is a universally conserved ribonucleoprotein involved in the co-translational targeting of proteins to membranes. Archaeal SRP consists of a 7S RNA and homologues of the eukaryotic SRP19 and SRP54 proteins.
Source: RNAcentral